CCUACGGGAGACAGCAGUGGGGAAUAUUGCACAAUGGGGGAAACCCUGAUGCAGCGACGCCGCGUGAGUGAAGAAGUAAUUCGUUAUGGAAAGCUCUAUCAGCCGGGAAGAAAAUGACGGUACCUGAGUAAGAAGCCCCGGCUAACUACGUGCCAGCAGCCGCGGUAAUACGUAGGGGGCAAGCGUUAUCCGGAUUUACUGGGUGUAAAGGGAGCGUAGACGGCAGUGCAAGUCUGGAGUGAAAGGCGGGGGCUCAACCCCCGGACUGCUCUGGAAACUGUACGGCUGGAGUGCAGGAGAGGUAAGUGGAAUUCCUAGUGUAGCGGUGAAAUGCGUAGAUAUUAGGAGGAACACCAGUGGCGAAGGCGGCUUACUGGACUGUAACUGACGUUGAGGCUCGAAAGCGUGGGGAGCAAACAGGAUUAGAUACCCCUGUAGUC
RNAcentral lists this ribosomal RNA (440 nucleotides) under uncultured bacterium. RNAcentral's name for it is "partial 16S ribosomal RNA". It matches the Rfam family "Bacterial small subunit ribosomal RNA", at positions 338 to 795 of the family's 1533-position model. The record is from RNAcentral.